AGCCUCAUUCUAGAUGAAAAUGGGCGUUGUUGCUAAUGGUGUCCAAAAAUUGUUAUUGUGGCCAUAUUGAGACACAUGUCAUCCUUCCCUCACAGUACGUGUAUUGCAGCAGUGACAAUGAGACCUGUAACAUUU
Equus asinus (donkey) is the source of this 135-nucleotide small nucleolar RNA. Lineage: Eukaryota; Metazoa; Chordata; Mammalia; Perissodactyla; Equidae. The record is from Ensembl.